This 1454-nucleotide ribosomal RNA is filed under the name uncultured organism. RNAcentral describes it as "SSU rRNA". It matches the Rfam family "Bacterial small subunit ribosomal RNA". The record is from RNAcentral.
CGCUGGCGGCGUGCCUAACACAUGCAAGUCGAACGAAGCAAUUAAGAUGAAGUUUUCGGAUGGAAUCUUGAUUGACUGAGUGGCGGACGGGUGAGUAACGCGUGGAUAACCUGCCUCACACUGGGGGAUAACAGUUAGAAAUGACUGCUAAUACCGCAUAAGCGCACAGUGCCGCAUGGCAGUGUGUGAAAAACUCCGGUGGUGUGAGAUGGAUCCGCGUCUGAUUAGCCAGUUGGCGGGGUAACGGCCCACCAAAGCGACGAUCAGUAGCCGACCUGAGAGGGUGACCGGCCACAUUGGGACUGAGACACGGCCCAAACUCCUACGGGAGGCAGCAGUGGGGAAUAUUGCACAAUGGGCGAAAGCCUGAUGCAGCGACGCCGCGUGAGUGAAGAAGUAUUUCGGUAUGUAAAGCUCUAUCAGCAGGGAAGAAAAUGACGGUACCUGACUAAGAAGCCCCGGCUAACUACGUGCCAGCAGCCGCGGUAAUACGUAGGGGGCAAGCGUUAUCCGGAUUUACUGGGUGUAAAGGGAGCGUAGACGGCGAAGCAAGUCUGAAGUGAAAACCCAGGGCUCAACCCUGGGACUGCUUUGGAAACUGUUUUGCUAGAGUGUCGGAGAGGUAAGUGGAAUUCCUAGUGUAGCGGUGAAAUGCGUAGAUAUUAGGAGGAACACCAGUGGCGAAGGCGGCUUACUGGACGAUAACUGACGUUGAGGCUCGAAAGCGUGCGGAGCAAACAGGAUUGGAUACCCUGGGUAGUCCCCGCCGUAAACGAGGAAAUGCUAGGUGUGGGGGGGGGCAAAAGCCCUUCGGUGCCGCCGCAAACGCAGUAAGCAUUCCACCUGGGGAGUACGUUCGCAAGAAUGAAACUCAAAGGAAUUGACCGGGGACCCGCACAAGCGGUGGAGCAUGUGGUUUAAUUCGAAGCAACGCGAAGAACCUUACCAAGUCUUGACAUCCCCCUGACGGGCCGGUAACGCGGCCUUUCCUUCGGGACAGGGGAGACAGGUGGUGCAUGGUUGUCGUCAGCUCGUGUCGUGAGAUGUUGGGUUAAGUCCCGCAACGAGCGCAACCCUUAUCCUUAGUAGCCAGCACGUGAAGGUGGGCACUCUAGGGAGACUGCCAGGGAUAACCUGGAGGAAGGUGGGGAUGACGUCAAAUCAUCAUGCCCCUUAUGAUUUGGGCUACACACGUGCUACAAUGGCGUAAACAAAGGGAAGCGAGACAGUGAUGUGGAGCAAAUCCCAAAAAUAACGUCCCAGUUCGGACUGUAGUCUGCAACCCGACUACACGAAGCUGGAAUCGCUAGUAAUCGCGAAUCAGAAUGUCGCGGUGAAUACGUUCCCGGGUCUUGUACACACCGCCCGUCACACCAUGGGAGUCAGCAACGCCCGAAGUCAGUGACCCAACCGAAAGGAGGGAGCUGCCGAAGGCGGGGCAGGUAACUGGGGUG